Molecule: ribosomal RNA, 253 nt
Filed under: uncultured bacterium
Lineage: Bacteria
Description: partial 16S ribosomal RNA
Rfam family: Bacterial small subunit ribosomal RNA
Source: RNAcentral
GACAGAGGAUGCAAGCGUUAUCCGGAAUGAUUGGGCGUAAAGCGUCUGUAGGUGGCUUUUUAAGUUCGCCGUCAAAUCCCAGGGCUCAACCCUGGACAGGUGGUGGAAACUACCAAGCUAGAGUACGGUAGGGGCAGAGGGAAUUUCCGGUGGAGCGAUGAAAUGCGUUGAUAUCGGAAGGAACGCCGGUGGCGAAAGCGACACACUGGAUCUCUUCUGACGCUGAGGCGCGAAAGCCAGGAGAGCAAACGGG